GUACGUAGGUGGCAAGCGUUGUCCGGAUUUAUUGGGCGUAAAGGGCGCGCAGGCGGUCUCUUAAGUCUGAUGUGAAAUCUUGCGGCUCAACCGCAAGCGGUCAUUGGAAACUGGGAGACUUGAGUGCAGAAGAGGAGAGUGGAAUUCCACGUGUAGCGGUGAAAUGCGUAGAGAUGUGGAGGAACACCAGUGGCGAAGGCGACUCUCUGGUCUGUAACUGACGCUGAGGCGCGAAGGCGUGGGGAGCAAACAGGAUUAGGUACCCUGGUAGUCCACGCCGUAAACGAUGAGUGCUAGGUGUUAGGGGUUUCGAUGCCCUUAGUGCCGAAGUAAACACAUUAAGCACUCCGCCUGGGGAGUACGGCCGCAAGGCUGAA
RNAcentral lists this ribosomal RNA (377 nucleotides) under uncultured bacterium. RNAcentral's name for it is "bacterial SSU rRNA". It matches the Rfam family "Bacterial small subunit ribosomal RNA", at positions 523 to 898 of the family's 1533-position model. The record is from RNAcentral.